RNAcentral lists this ribosomal RNA (309 nucleotides) under Triticum aestivum (bread wheat). Its description in RNAcentral is "partial small subunit ribosomal RNA". The record is from RNAcentral. Lineage: Eukaryota; Viridiplantae; Streptophyta; Magnoliopsida; Poales; Poaceae.
AUGUGUGCUCAUGCUGGCAUAAUUGGGACUACAAGGCCAACACACUACCAUGUUCUCCACGAUGAGAUAGGCUUCUCUGCUGAUGAGCUGGAGGAGCUCGUGCACUCCCUAUCCUAUGUGUACCAGAGGAGCACCACAGCAAUCUCAGUAGUUGCUCCCAUCUUCUACGCACACCUUGCAGCGGGCCAGGUGGCCAAGUUCACCAAGAUCGAUGAUAUGUCGGAGACAUCGUCCCAGGCUGAGGCUGCCCCGGUGCCGGAGCUGCCUCGUCUGCAUCCCAAUGUAGCGUCAACGAUGUUCUUCUGCUGA